GAUAUUUUCAUCAAUGUUCGUCUCUUUUAACAUUUUACAAGAAUCUUUCAUUUUCAAAACCAAAAUCAAAUAAAACUCUAGGAAACCAAUCAGUACAAUUUUAAUUGGGUAAUCCAGUUACUGAUUUUUUCUUUCUACAAUGUGAUAAACAGUUAAACACACCCGUUCUUGUUAUGGAUUUGGACCCUCGAGUCUUUGCCUCUCUGUGUACUGCUUAGUUCACUUCCUAUCGGUAUUUGAUUUACUAGUAAGAUCAAAUAUCAAAACAUUUCCCUGUGUUUUUGUACUUGAUUUAUGUCUCUCGUCUCUUUUUUAUAGUCUAAUUGUUGCUUAUGGCCUCUUUUUUUGACAGGUUCAGAGAGGUGUGACGUAUCCCUGACUCAUGUACAUCCAAUUAGAGUUUGCAUUACUUUGCUAGUGGUUUGCCUUGAUGCCUUCACAAAAAUCAGGUGAUUAUUCUUUUAGUUUUGCACUCUUUUGCACUACCAGCUAUUAUUUUUUAGGGGAAAUCUUGUAAUAAUUGUGUAGUUUUCAGAAAUAAGCCAUAUUCUUCCUAUGCAUGACAAGGGUUUCAAGCAAUGGCUUAUAUGCAUCUUGCUUCUAAACCAAAAGGCUAUAUGUGUUUUUCAUGUGAGGCUUAGCAGAAUGAUACAUACAUAUAUGUGUUUUCUUCAUGAACCCCUUUUUAUUCUCUUAUUACUAAUAUUUGUAUCAAAUUGUACUAAGAAGUGCAUUAUGCUUCUGAAACUGCAUUUCCAUGGCAUUCAUAAUAUGUAGUUAGAAUGUUGUUAUUAAAAAAGUAGUAGAGAUUGUAUGCUGAUAAAUUCAUGUUGGAUUAUGAGAUAUUUUGUUCAGAGUAAGAUUGAUAAGUUGAGGGACAACAUGUUACUUUGGAGGAAACUUCUAAUAAGAUUGGUAUCAGGAUCAAGAUGGUCAACAAUCACUUCACUUUCCUGGUAAUAGUCCCUCGUCUCCUCUCGGUUUCAUUUCAAUAGAUUCUACAUUCUAGCUUUCAUGUAGUUUCCUUGUCUUUGUAAAUAAAGCGAUCUGACCUUUUAUUGUGACUUCUGAGUGUCUCAUAUAUUUUUUCUUGUUUUGACAAAAGGUGUCUCAUGUAUGGCUCAUUGCUUAAGUGAAAAAUCGUUAAGUUGAAAAAAGAAAUAUGCAUAAGACAGCUUCAACUCAUCAUGAGUGGAUCCUCAAGUGUAUGGAAAUAGGUAUUCAUUGCUUAAUUUUAUUCUUUAAAAGAGAUUUUUAUUUGUAUGCAAUGUGUGAAAAGAUUGAAAGACUCUUCACUGGAUGAGGAUGAAGAAUCUCUAGAACAUCACUGAUUGUGUUUGCUUAGCUUAGUUUCUUACUUACUUACUUCGACGUCUCUUUUUUGUUAUGUGUUCACUUGGUAUAGACAGUUAUUACUUACAUUAAAAUUUCAUCUUUUUAAUAGUAUGACACUUUCCAUUUAUUAUUUUGAUAUAUAUUUUUCAUCAAUCGGUUGAUGUUUUGAUUGUGAACAUCUUUCAUUUGGAACUUAGGAUGAAAAAGAAAAUCAGAACGUAUAUUCUUUUUAAAAAAACAAAUUAUAACAUAUAUAUAUAUAUAUAUAUAUAUAUAUAUAUAUAUAUAUAUAUAUAUAUUCAGAUUUCAGAUUCAGAAUUUAAAGAAACAUAGUUACAUCAACACUUCAAGUGGAUACUAAAAUAUAUAUUCAGAUUCAUAAUUUAAAGAAACAUAGGUUACAUCAACUCUACAUAGCAUAGGCUUGGCUGACACUAAAUUGCCCCGGUUUUGAUUUGGCGCACGAAAAAUGUUGCAACAGCUUCGUAGAUGAUUCUAAUUUGCUUCUGGCUUCGAAGCACACAAAAUUCCUGUAGUGUUUCUAGGAGCAAUGGAUUAAGGUGCCACCUCAUGUUUUGCUCAUUGCUUAAUGUACUUCUGUUGUUCUCCCAUGAUAUAACAACCCUCUUGCAACGACCAUACGCCCUUGCUUCCGUGCUUGAUAUCCUUCUGUUGUGUCUCUUCGUCUCCUCUGCACCUCCUUCCACACCUUGAAGCUAGAACAGAAAUUAAACUCACUUUCGUUGACGGAAAAUUCAAAUCAAUUCUAUGCUGUUAUUUAGUCUUACAUUAUGAGCAUAGUUGAUUUUAGAACAUGAGUCAUGAAAAAACAAAAUAAUAAUGCUAUCAACCGUAUAUUAUGUUAGUGUGGGAUUUCCCCUAUUGGUGAAUCAUGUAAAAAUAAACUAACAUUGUACCGACUAAGUUAAUUGUAUGUGUACUGUUUAGUAAGUAAUUAAAGUAUAACCCACCAAACAUGCAAUAAAAUAAAUUGUGUAUAAGAGAAACAUUAGCUUGUUUUAAUGUAAUCUACUAUCAAUAUAAUAGAGUAAACCAAUAGUUAAGUCGUAACAUGAAAGAAAGAGUUAAACUGAAGAUGGAAAGUUAGAAAAUGUAACUGCAAUGUGGACCAUAACUAACAUUUAUGGUUUUCAUGCCACAGAUAAUAGUUUAACAGAUAGAUUGUAUUAAUCUGAAAAUUGCAGGAUACAAAACAAACAGAUAGCUGGUUUUCUAAUAAAACCUUGAACCAUAUGUCAUACUGUUAAGAAAAUGCACUUUGAUACAAUCAACCUGAUAGCAUGUCUAUUCUAACACAGAAAAUUUAUUGUAUGUAGUUAUGAUUGCAUAUGAUGGUACUAUAUAUAAAUUGAAUAUGAAUGUUGAAUAACUUACUAAUUAAAGAUUUUGAAAGACCUCUUUGAAGACAACAUUAGUGGUAGUGUUUAGUGGCUGUCUUUCAUCAUCAUGUAUUAAGAUCUUGAGACCCUGCUUGCUCUUAACUCUGGAAACUGCCACGUAUAGCUGGCCAUGGCUAAACACUGGUCUAGGCAAGUAUAGCCCAACAUAGUCGAGAGAUUGGCCUUGUGAUUUAUUAAUUGUCAUAGCAUAUGAGACAAUUAUAGGAUAUUGUCUCCUAAUAAGCUUGAACGGCCAUGGUGAUUGAGACAGAGAGAUAGAAAUUUGUGGAAUGUAGAUAAUGCUUCCAAUAUUCUUCCCAUAGACGACCUUUGCUUCUAGCACAUGAUUUGCUAGCCUCGUAACAAUUAAUCUGGUUCCAUUACACAAUCCUUCUAAUUGGUCUAAAUUUCUCAAGAGCAUUAUUGGAGUACCAACCUUGAGUUUGAUUUUGUGAUUAGGAAGACCCGAUGCUGUUAGUGAGCUCAAAAACUCUGGGGUAAAUUCUUCAAAUGCUUCAUUGGCAUUGGCUUCUAACUGAUCUAUAGAAUCUGAACUCAAAUACACCAUUUCCUCACCUAUAUUGUAGCAUGGUAUAUUUCAAAGAACAUAAUAAAUAUUGAACAAAAGAAGGAUGGAAAAUAAGUAAACUUUGUGAAUCAAGUAGUACCUGGAAUCAAUCCUAGGACAUAUUCAUUUAUUUGAUCGAUAACUUCAAUUGUUGAUGCUAAAAUUGCCCUAGAUUGCCAAAAAUCUUCAUUCUUAUAAUUUUCCAUUAAAUUUGGAUAUGUACUUCUCACAAUUGCAUGAAUAGGAUCGUCAAAAUUGGUAAUCAAUAAUUCACUUGGAAUCUCUAUCUCAGCAUUACCAUCAUUUGGCUCAGAAAUCUUGCCAUCGCCAAUGUUUAAUAUCCAUUGUGAGAACUGGUUGAGUUCCGCUGCAUCAGAACUUUGUGCGCAAGAUUGCAAACGCAUAUUUUUUGUUAGAGUUAGCACAUGACAAUGAUCCCAAAUAUAUGAUGCAUUAAUUGUUGCAUGGACGACGUCAGAACGACUUCCUCUUGGAAUGACAGGUAGAAUUUGUCUAAAGUCUCCCCCAAAAACUACUAUUUUUCCUCCAAAUAUUGAAGUGCUUGAACUCAUUAUGUCUUUAAGAGUUUUGUCUAGUGCCUCAAAGCAAAAUUUAUGGGUCAUUGGAGCUUCAUCCCAUAUUAUGAGUUUUGUUAGUUUCAGUAGCUCCGCGAUUUCACUUCCUUUUUCUAUAUUGCAUGUCGAGCAAUCAAAUGCAGGAACAGGAAUUUUAAACUCUGAAUGUGCUGUUCUUCCUCCUGGUAAUAAAAGUGAUGCUAUUCCACUUGAUGCCACAGUCAACACAAUAUGACGUUGAGAACGUAUGGCUGAUGCUAAAGUUCUCCACAUGAAAGUUUUUCCAGUUCCACCAUGACCAUGUAGGAAAAAUACUCUUCCCUUUUGGUUGUUGACUGCUUGCAUAAUUGUUUCAAAUAUUCCUCUUUGCUCAUCUAUAAAGAAAUUAGAUUCAAUUUUUAAAACUUGGCACAUCAAGAUUAGACAAUUCGUAUAGUGAAUGUUUGUUUGUACAGUAAACGUAAAUUUGAUAACCUGUAAGAGAACUGAAUAAUUGUUGGAAUUGUUGUUGUUGAAUAGAUUGAUCAUAACCACAUUCUUCAUAUAUUAGUCUAUUCCCUAAUUGACUUGCAACAUAUCCUUUUGGAUAUGGCAUUGAUGGAUAUUCCUUCAAACUUCUUCUAUUUGUUUGCAAAUGUUUCUCAAUCUCAAGCAAAGAUAAACUUUGUAUCUCUUCAGAAGUAAGUUGCAAGUCUAAAUAUAAGAUAAACCCUUAUUCAAUAAGUAUUGGUUAUGAAGUACAUAAAUUGUUUGAUCUAUGAAAUAAGGUUACCGAACCAUACCUUGAUUAGCUGUCAAUUUUCUCUGAUCAUAAAGUAUCCCAUCAGACAACAAUUUCCAAGUUUGAUUCCACACAUGGUCUGGUCUAUUAAUGGUACACGAUAGGAGCAUCGUGCUAAAUAACUUCCUUAAGUACUUUCCAGAACCCCACACAUUUGCCUCUUUUAUGGUCUCUAUAUGUUUUCUAUCAUCUUCAAGGAAACCCAUUGCAAAACAUGCUUCUCUGAAAGUUUUAUAUUGGAUAUGGGCAACAGUUUUAAUAUCUUCAUAGCUGACAGGUCCUUUUACAGCAGUAAGCAUCAUUCUUAAGUAAAAAAGUUCUCCAGUACUUGGAGGAACCCAAAUUAGCCUCCCAAUAGUAUAACCUUUCAUACGCGGUUUCCAUGACCUUUUCCUCUUAUCAUAUGCAAAUUUAGAAACAAACUGAGCAUACGUCAAAUUCUUGGCUUGAGGAUAAAUCUUGUUUGCUUGCAUCCAAGAUGUAAACAUUGAUUCAGUGACACUUGGCUUCAACAGGACAUCAUCAAUAUGCUCAUAAUCGUUAAAGUAAACCGGUUGUUCGCCUGGAAUAUGAAAGAACAACCUUUCAACUGCUGGCUUCCGACCAUGUAUUGGAAAUGAAAAAAUUCUCCAACAUGCUUCACCUGGUGAUACAUACCUACAAUCAAAGUAUUGUUUGAUCUCAUCAAUGUUACCACUUUGAGUUGAAUCUCUGUCUUGUGUUGGAUCAACAACGGCUGUUAUCCUACCAUAACCUUUAUUUAUGUGCUUGAAUAAGUACUUAAUCGAUGCACUUUUGCUACACCAUUCCACAUUGAUAUGUGCUUGGUACUUCAUUAGCAACGUAGGGUUAUAUGGUACAAUAUGUUUGUUAUUGAGUGAAACACCGUUCUUGACAAUUGUGUUACCAUUGUCUCUUCGUCUGUACACCGGAUAACCUUCUUUGUCAACAAUUGUUGAGUUCUGAUACUUCUUAGGGUAGUACUUUGUGCAUUUUCCAUCUUUCAUGCAAGGUGAUGAUUUAUGAGAUAAACCACAUGGACCAUGGAUCAUAUGAUUUUUAACCAAAUUAUACAACUCUUUCUCAUGUUCCUGAUUGGGUAUCUCUGCUGAAAUGAUCUUGUCAAUAACACCAGGAGUGGGGAGCUUAUUAGAUGGAUGUAGAAAUAUAAGUAUGUGUGCAUGUGGCAAUCCCCUCUUUUGAAACUCAAUGGUGUAUAUAUCUGAAAGUAAAGUUUGUUAAUUUAUAUAAAUUUGCAAUGCUUGUAGAUAAAGUAAUAUAUGUAUGUUGCGUGCAUUAAUAAUAAACUUACAUGCAAGAACUUUCCCAAGCAUGUUUUUCUUGGUCAAAUCUGAAAGGAGCUCAUCCAACUUCAUUUUAAAUACCCUUGAUAUUAUAUCAGGACGAUCAUGUGCUUUCAAAUUCAUUGAUCCUAGCACUCUUUGUAUUUCUGGCCAGUUGGGAUUGCAAGUAAAUGUAAUGAAAAGGUCCGGAAAACCAACAUAGCUACAAAUUGCCAUUCCGUCAAAAUAUAAUUGAUCCAUGUAUCUACGACUUCCCACAUGUGUUGCAGGUAAUAUUACUCUUUUUCCUUUGUUUGACCCUUGAGUUUGAAUUUGGUGAUCAGUUUCAUUCAGACUACGAUACUUAGAGACUCGUAGUUUUGAUUGAUUUUUCCUCAGCCAUUCGAGUCUUUCAGACUCCAACAUGGCGAAUCCAUCAACUAAAAACUGUUGGUAUAGUUUUCUUGAACAUAAUAAAGUUUGGCCUUCCUCUGUUCUGGAUUGAAUUCUAAAAGCUAACCAUUCUCUUAUAGUCAGCCAAUUUCUUUUAUUGCUCUUAGAACUUUCUCUAUCUCUAUGAGCCACACCACGUCGAUAGCCAUCCUCGCCAUAAGGAAAUAUUAAGGGAUAUUGGUAAGCCAGGUAGCUUGCAUGAAAUUCAUCUAUUCUUUGAAGUUUGCCACGUUGAGUCUCUAUUAUUAUAUCUCUUUUUGAAGCAGUGUCAACAUCACCAACAAUAAGAGCAGCUACCUCAGACACAGUGGGUUGAUUGUUAAUUCUACCAUCCGUAAACCUCUCAGAAAUCAACCUUAGCUUCAAGUUGUUCGCAUUACCUUGAUUCAAUCUUUCUCUGACCAUCCGAAAAGACUUUGUAUGUGUAUUAUGCUGAUAAAGCAUUUCGGACAACUUGUAAACAAUAUCUGGAUCAAUGUUGUUAUUGUUCCUGUAGAUCAAAUCAGGAAAAGAGAUUAACUGUAAAGAAUGAUUAAAAUAUAAAGCUUAUGAAUAAACUUAUCUGUCUAGUUAUAUGAAAUAAAAACUUUCAUAAACAUGAAUGUACAUACCUAAACCCUUGAAGUCUGUUUUGUAUUUCAUUUUCUGUAUCAUAAAUGUAUAGUUGUGCAAAUUUUGGUGAUUGUCCUGGCAUAGGCAAUAAACUUCCUAUUCUAUGACAUGGUUGACCUUGUAUUUUGAUUAUUGGUGGCCCUCUGCCAUUAUUGAUUUUGUUAUCCAACUUUGCUCCUGGUGAAGUGAAUGCGAACAUCAUAUUAUAAACUCUGAUCUGUUGCUGAAAGUUCUUGCUAUCUGAUGAAUCACGAUCAAAUAACAGAUGCUGAAGCAAUGGAG
This 7289-nucleotide long non-coding RNA is filed under the name Medicago truncatula (barrel medic). Its description in RNAcentral is "long non-coding RNA (MTRU_LNC000674)". Lineage: Eukaryota; Viridiplantae; Streptophyta; Magnoliopsida; Fabales; Fabaceae. The record is from RNAcentral.